Molecule: ribosomal RNA, 305 nt
Filed under: uncultured bacterium
Lineage: Bacteria
Description: bacterial SSU rRNA
Rfam family: Bacterial small subunit ribosomal RNA
Source: RNAcentral
CUCCUACGGGACGCAGCAGUGAGGAAUAUUGGUCAAUGGCCGAGAGGCUGAACCAGCCAAGUCGCGUGAGGGAAGAAUGUCCUAUGGAUUGUAAACCUCUUUUGUCAGGGAGCAAAGUCACCCACGUGUGGGUGUUGGAGAGUACCUGAAGAAAAAGCAUCGGCUAACUCCGUGCCAGCAGCCGCGGUAAUACGGAGGAUCCGAGCGUUAUCCGGAUUCAUUGGGUUUAAAGGGUGCGUAGGUUGUUUUAUAAGUUAGCGGUGGAAUACCGAUGCUCAACAUCGGGGCUGCCGCUGAUACUGUAG